RNAcentral lists this ribosomal RNA (455 nucleotides) under uncultured soil bacterium. Its description in RNAcentral is "bacterial SSU rRNA". It matches the Rfam family "Bacterial small subunit ribosomal RNA", at positions 26 to 518 of the family's 1533-position model. The record is from RNAcentral.
AGAACGAACGCUGGCGGCAUGCCUAACACAUGCAAGUCGAACGAGACCGCUGACUUCGGUUGGCGCGUCUAGUGGCGCACGGGUGCGUAACGCGUGGGAAUCUGCCCUUGGGUUCGGGAUAACAGUUGGAAACGACUGCUAAUACCGGAUGAUGACUUCGGUCCAAAGAUUUAUCGCCCAGGGAUGAGCCCGCGUCGGAUUAGCUAGUUGGUGGGGUAAAAGCCUACCAAGGCGACGAUCCGUAGCUGGUCUGAGAGGAUGAUCAGCCACACUGGGACUGAGACACGGCCCAGACUCCUACGGGAGGCAGCAGUGGGGAAUAUUGGACAAUGGGCGAAAGCCUGAUCCAGCAAUGCCGCGUGAGUGAUGAAGGCCUUAGGGUUGUAAAGCUCUUUACCCGGAUGAUAAUGACAGUACCGGAGAAUAAGCCCGGCUAACUCCGUGCCAGCAGCCGC